CCUACGGGGUGCAGCAGUGAGGAAUAUUGGUCAAUGGACGAGAGUCUGAACCAGCCAAGUAGCGUGAAGGAUGACUGCCCUAUGGGUUGUACACUUCUUUUAUAUGGGAAUAACAUGUUCCACGUGUGGGAUUUUGUAUGUACCAUAUGAAUAAGGAUCGGCUAACUCCGUGCCAGCAGCCGCGGUAAUACGGAGGCUCCGAGCGUUAUCCGGAUUUAUUGGGUUUAAAGGGAGCGUAGGUGGAUUGUUAAGUCAGUUGUGAAAGUUUGCGGCUCAACCGUAAAAUUGCAGUUGAAACUGGCAGUCUUGAGGACAGUAGAGGUGGGCGGAAUGCGUGGUGUAGCGGUGAAAUGCUUAGAGAUCACGAAGAACUCCGAUUGCGAAGGCAGUUCACUGUACUGCAACUGACACUGAGGCUCGAAAGUGUGGGUAUCAAACAGGAUUAGAUACCCCUGUAGUC
This 460-nucleotide ribosomal RNA is filed under the name uncultured bacterium. RNAcentral describes it as "partial 16S ribosomal RNA". It matches the Rfam family "Bacterial small subunit ribosomal RNA", at positions 338 to 795 of the family's 1533-position model. The record is from RNAcentral.